This 3160-nucleotide ribosomal RNA is filed under the name Jiangella asiatica. RNAcentral describes it as "Jiangella sp. 5K138 23S ribosomal RNA". It matches the Rfam family "Bacterial large subunit ribosomal RNA". The record is from RNAcentral. Lineage: Bacteria; Bacillati; Actinomycetota; Actinomycetes; Jiangellales; Jiangellaceae.
AGUGGACGCGAGCAUCUUCAUCUUUGUGGUCAAGUUAGUAAGGGCACAUGGUGGAUGCCUUGGCACCAGGAGCCGAUGAAGGACGUGGGAGCCUGCGAUAAUCCCUGGCGAGCUGGCAACCGAGCUAUGACCCGGGGGUGUCCGAAUGGGGAAACCCGGCGGCAGUCAUGUGCCGUCACCGUCACCUGAACACAUAGGGUGGUCGGAGGGAACGUGGGGAAGUGAAACAUCUCAGUACCCACAGGAAGAGAAAACAAGAGUGAUUCCGUGAGUAGUGGCGAGCGAAAGCGGAUGAGGCUAAACCGUGCGCGUGUGAUACCCGGCAGGGGUUGCGUGUGCGGUGUUGUGGGGUUGUGUUGAUUCAGCUGCUGCCGUGGCUGGUCUGGAGUGAUCAAUCGUUGUUGAAGUCGAAGGGCUUGAGAGGCCUGGCGUAGAGGGUGUUACCCCCGUAGACGUAAGGCAGCGACUCCAGUGAUGCGAUACCCGAGUAGCACGGGGCUCGUGGAAUCUCGUGUGAAUCUGGCGGGACCACCCGCUAAGCCUAAAUACUCCCUGGUGACCGAUAGCGGAUCAGUACCGUGAGGGAAUGGUGAAAAGUACCCCGGGAGGGGAGUGAAAUAGUACCUGAAACCAUGUGCCUACAAGCCGUCAGAGCGCUUGCCUUGUGUGGGUGUGAUGGCGUGCCUUUUGAAGAAUGAGCCUGCGAGUUAGUGGUGUGUGGCGAGGUUAACCCGUGUGGGGUAGCCGUAGCGAAAGCGAGUCCGAAGAGGGCGCCAGAGUCGCAUGCUCUAGACCCGAAGCGGAGUGAUCUACCCAUGGGCAGGGUGAAGCGGAGGUAAGACUUCGUGGAGGCCCGAACCGACCUACGUUGAAAAGUGGGCGGAUGACCUGUGGGUAGGGGUGAAAGGCCAAUCAAACUCCGUGAUAGCUGGUUCUCCCCGAAAUGCAUUUAGGUGCAGCGUCGCGUGUUUCUUGCCGGAGGUAGAGCACUGGAUGGCUGAUGGGCCCUACAAGGUUACUGACGUCAGCCAAACUCCGAAUGCCGGUAAGUGAGAGCGCGGCAGUGAGACUGCGGGCGAUAAGGUUCGUAGUCGAGAGGGAAACAGCCCAGAUCACCAGCUAAGGCCCCUAAGCGUGUGCUAAGUGGAAAAGGAUGUGGAGUUGCGAAGACAACCAGGAGGUUGGCUUAGAAGCAGCCAUCCUUGAAAGAGUGCGUAAUAGCUCACUGGUCAAGUGAUUCUGCGCCGACAAUGUAGCGGGGCUCAAGCACACCGCCGAAGCUGUGACAAUCACACGUUAGCCCAGCAUCCCUUCCUUGUGGGGGGGUGUUCAGGUGUGUGGUUGGGUAGGGGAGCGUCGUGUGGCGGUUGAAGCGGCGGGGUGACCCAGUCGUGGACGCUACACGAGUGAGAAUGCAGGCAUGAGUAGCGAAAGACGGGUGAGAAACCCGUCCGCCGAAUGACCAAGGGUUCCAGGGCCAGGUUAAUCCGCCCUGGGUAAGUCGGGACCUAAGGCGAGGCCGACAGGCGUAGUCGAUGGACAACGGGUUGAUAUUCCCGUACCGGUUGUGGCGCGCCCAUGCCGAGCCCGGUGAUGCUAACCAUCCGAACCUGUGGUUCUCCUUCGGGAGGGCUGACGGGGGAGCGUGGGAACCGAUCCGGUAGUAGGCAAGCGAUGGGGUGACGCAGGAAGGUAGCCCAUCCCGGGCGAUGGUUGUCCCGGGGUAACAGUGUGGGGCCGUGGUAGGUAAAUCCGCCACAGUAGUGCCCGAGGCUGGAUGCCGAGCCGAUUGCGGCGAAGUGGGUGAUCCUAUGCUGUCGAGAAAAGCCUCUAGCGAGCUCCAUAGCCGCCCGUACCCCAAACCGACACAGGUGGUCAGGUAGAGAAUACCAAGGCGAUCGAGUGAACCGUGGUUAAGGAACUCGGCAAAAUGCCCCCGUAACUUCGGGAGAAGGGGGGCCGGAUACGUGAACACCACACGGUGGGAGCGUUGAUGGCCGCAGAGACCAGGGGAAAGCGACUGUUUAUUAAAAACACAGGUCCGUGCGAAGUCGCAAGACGAUGUAUACGGACUGACGCCUGCCCGGUGCUGGAACGUUAAGGGGACGAGUCAACCCUUCGGGGUGAAGCUCAGAACUUAAGCGCCAGUAAACGGCGGUGGUAACUAUAACCAUCCUAAGGUAGCGAAAUUCCUUGUCGGGUAAGUUCCGACCUGCACGAAUGGCGUAACGACUUUCCCACUGUCUCAACCACGGACUCGGCGAAAUUGCACUACGAGUAAAGAUGCUCGUUACCCGCAGCAGGACGGAAAGACCCCGGGACCUUUACUAUAGCUUGGUAUUGGUGUUCGGUUCGGCUUGUGUAGGAUAGGUGGGAGACUGUGAAGCUGUCACGCCAGUGGCGGUGGAGUCAACGUUGAAAUACCACUCUGGUCGUACUGGAUAUCUAACCUCGGUCCGUGAUCCGGAUCAGGGACAGUGCCUGGUGGGUAGUUUAACUGGGGCGGUUGCCUCCUAAAAGGUAACGGAGGCGCCCAAAGGUUCCCUCAGCCUGGUUGGCAAUCAGGCGGCGAGUGCAAGUGCACAAGGGAGCUUGACUGUGAGACCGACGGGUCGAACAGGUACGAAAGUAGGGACUAGUGAUCCGGCAGUGGCUUGUGGAAGCGCUGUCGCUCAACGGAUAAAAGGUACCCCGGGGAUAACAGGCUGAUCCUGCCCAAGAGUCCAUAUCGACGGCAUGGUUUGGCACCUCGAUGUCGGCUCGUCGCAUCCUGGGGCCGUAGCAGGUCCCAAGGGUUGGGCUGUUCGCCCAUUAAAGCGGUACGCGAGCUGGGUUUAGAACGUCGUGAGACAGUUCGGUCCCUAUCCGCUGCGGGCGCAGGAGACUUGAGAAGGGCUGUCCCUAGUACGAGAGGACCGGGACGGACGAACCUCUGGUGUGCCAGUUGUUCCGCCAGGAGCACGGCUGGUUGGCUACGUUCGGAAAGGAUAACCGCUGAAAGCAUCUAAGCGGGAAGCCUGCUUCAAGAUGAGGUCUCCCACACGGUUAACGUGGUAAGGCCCCCAGCUAGACGACUGGGUUGAUAGGCCGGACGUGGAAGCCCAGCAAUGGGUGAAGCUGACCGGUACUAAUAGGCCGAGGACUUGACCACACACACCCC